AGCCUGAUGCAGCGACGCCGCGUGAGGGAUGACGGCCUUCGGGUUGUAAACCUCUUUCAAUAGGGACGAAGCGCAAGUGACGGUACCUAUAGAAGAAGCACCGGCCAACUACGUGCCAGCAGCCGCGGUAAUACGUAGGGUGCGAGCGUUGUCCGGAAUUACUGGGCGUAAAGAGCUCGUAGGUGGUUUGUCGCGUUGUUCGUGAAAACUCACAGCUCAACUGUGGGCGUGCGGGCGAUACGGGCAGACUGGAGUACUGCAGGGGAGACUGGAAUUCCUGGUGUAGCGGUGGAAUGCGCAGAUAUCAGGAGGAACACCGGUGGCGAAGGCGGGUCUCUGGGCAGUAACUGACGCUGAGGAGCGAAAGCGUGGGGAGCGAACAGGAUUAGAUACCCUGGUAGUCCACGCCGUAAACGGUGGGUACUAGGUGUGGGUUUCCUUCCUUGGGAUCCGUGCCGUAGCUAACGCAUUAAGUACCCCGCCUGGGGAGUACGGCCGCAAGGCUAAAACUCAAAGAAAUUGACGGGGGCCCGCACAAGCGGCGGAGCAUGUGGAUUAAUUCGAUGCAACGCGAAGAACCUUACCUGGGUUUGACAUGCACAGGACGCCGGCAGAGAUGUCGGUUCCCUUGUGGC
Molecule: ribosomal RNA, 635 nt
Filed under: Mycobacterium sp. Se1Pw_3151
Lineage: Bacteria; Bacillati; Actinomycetota; Actinomycetes; Mycobacteriales; Mycobacteriaceae
Description: bacterial SSU rRNA
Rfam family: Bacterial small subunit ribosomal RNA
Source: RNAcentral